GAGUUUGAUCGUGGCUCAGAUUGAACGCUGGCGGCAGGCCUAACACAUGCAAGUCGAGCGGCAGCGCGGGGCAACCUGGCGGCGAGCGGCGGACGGGUGAGUAACGCGUAGGAAUCUACCCAGUAGCGGGGGAUAGCCCGGGGAAACUCGGAUUAAUACCGCAUACGCCCUAAGGGGGAAAGCAGGGGAUCUUCGGACCUUGCACUAUUGGCAGAGCCUGCGUUGGAUUAGCUAGUUGGUAGGGUAAAGGCCUACCAAGGCAACGAUCCAUAACUGGUCUGAGAGGAUGAUCAGUCACACCGGAACUGAGACACGGUCCGGACUCCUACGGGAGGCAGCAGUGGGGAAUAUUGGACAAUGGGGGCAACCCUGAUCCAGCCAUGCCGCGUGUGUGAAGAAGGCCUUCGGUUGUAAG
Molecule: ribosomal RNA, 415 nt
Filed under: uncultured Gammaproteobacteria bacterium
Lineage: Bacteria; Pseudomonadati; Pseudomonadota; Gammaproteobacteria
Description: bacterial SSU rRNA
Rfam family: Bacterial small subunit ribosomal RNA
Source: RNAcentral